This 119-nucleotide ribosomal RNA is filed under the name Pteropus alecto (black flying fox). The record is from RNAcentral. Lineage: Eukaryota; Metazoa; Chordata; Mammalia; Chiroptera; Pteropodidae.
CUCUACGACCAUGCCACCCUGAAUAAGCCCGAUCCCGUCUGAUCUCGGAAGCUAAGCAAGGUCAGGCCUAGUUAGUACUUGGAUGAGAGACCACCCAAGAAGACCAGGUGCUGUAGGCA